RNAcentral lists this ribosomal RNA (440 nucleotides) under uncultured bacterium. RNAcentral describes it as "partial 16S ribosomal RNA". It matches the Rfam family "Bacterial small subunit ribosomal RNA", at positions 338 to 795 of the family's 1533-position model. The record is from RNAcentral.
CCUACGGGUGGCAGCAGUGGGGGAUAUUGCACAAUGGGGGAAACCCUGAUGCAGCGACGCCGCGUGAGUGAAGAAGUAUUUCGGUAUGUAAAGCUCUAUCAGCAGGGAAGAAAAUGACAGUACCUGACCAAGAAGCCCCGGCUAACUACGUGCCAGCAGCCGCGGUAAUACGUAGGGGGCAAGCGUUAUCCGGAUUUACUGGGUGUAAAGAGUUCGUAGGCGGCACGUAAAGUCUGGUGUUAAAGGCAGAGGCUCAACUUCUGUACGGCACUGGAUACUUGCGAGCUAGAAUGCGGUAGGGGUAAAGGGAAUUCCUGGGGUAGCGGUGAAAUGCUUAGAUAUCAGGAGGAACAUCGGUGGCGUAGGCGCUUUACUGGGCCGUAAUUGACGCUGAGGAACGAAAGCCAGGGUAGCAAAUGGGAUUAGAUACCCCAGUAGUC